Molecule: long non-coding RNA, 1354 nt
Filed under: Falco tinnunculus (common kestrel)
Lineage: Eukaryota; Metazoa; Chordata; Aves; Falconiformes; Falconidae
Description: lncRNA (ENSFTIG00000008487.1)
Source: RNAcentral
GCAGCAGUGGUAUAAAACCAGGGUGUUUCAGGCAAAGUGGUAUUCCCUGACCCCAAGGGCAUCUGGGUACUAGUGAUCCCUGGCACGUUUGUAGCGGUCUGAAGACCCAGACCUUCCUUGUCAGGCAAGUAACUAUGGGCUGUCUUUCAGGCUGACCACCAUUCAAUCUCUCUGUUGAAGUUCCAUCAUAGUGGAACCAUCUAAAUGGAUAACACAUCUGCAGUUUGGUAUAGCACCCUGCCUAGGCUUCAACACUACCUGGGGUCCCCCAGUGCCCUUGUUGCUUUGGUAUCUCCCCUGAAGGUGAAGACCUGUGAGAGGCGUCAGCCAUGAAUCUCCUGUAUGUGCUCUUCCCCUUCUUCGUCCUGCUGGUCCAGGGUGCUGCAGGAAACCGUGAUGAAUCCCUGGACUUUCUGAGCAGGUUGCCUGCCCCUCUGGCUGCUGGAACCAUCUCGUGAUGUCCUCUCCCCAUCCUGCCUCUGCCAUCCCAAGGUGGUGUGACAGCAGGAGUGGAAGUGCUGCUCCUGCUGGGUGCUCAUGGGUUGGAGAUAUCCCAUCAUGGGCCUGGUGUUGCUUGGGGAAGAAACAGGAUGCCUCCUCCUCUUUUCCCAUCUGGACACUAUGAGACCAGCCUUGCCGCUCUCUGCCAUCAGACACUGCCCUCAGCCCUUCUACAAACCAACGCACGAAGCUGUGCUGCUGCUGCAGUGCACACUUCAUUCCCAGACAUGACUAUCAAAGGUCACAUUGCCAAGCGGUGCCACUCAAGGGAGUAUUAAGCAUUUGGACAAGCUCAGGCAGAACUGCAGGAGGUGAAAGAGGGGCUGAGACAAGAAGCGUUUCAGUACCAAGUAUUAUGUGACCUGUGAAGUAUGUAUACCACACCUUCCACAACAUAUACCAUGUGCAACACAUUUGAGGGGGUUCAGUUCCUCUGAUUUCAUCUGGGUGGCCACAAACACAGCAGUGGCUAGGCUCCCAUCACAAGCAAUAGAGUCAGGAGAACCAACAGAAUGGUGAGGAUGGCUUCAGUUGCUUGGACAUUGGCAGCAGUGCCAUUUCUAGUUCUGUGUGGUAUUCUGCCAUGUGCUGCUGUGGAAGAGUCAAGACUGCUUGCAAGUCCAGUCUAUUACAGGGUUGUAAAAGUUAAAAUCUGUAACUUUAACUGUCAUAAACCAGAUCUUUUAAGGACCUUCUGCGUCUAGUUCAGUAACACCAUUGAACACUGUUUAGUGUAGGAAAUCCUACAAGGGACAGCAAGCUAGAUGUUACAUUUUCGUAAUGCAUUUGAGCUUGAAGUAAAUAUAAUAUGAUAAACCUGGUUAUCUGCUGGUUAAGUAAUAGUUAACAACUG